UAUGAUCCCUUCGUUAUCUCUUAUUUCGUCUCACUUCCUAUCAUCUAAACCCAAUCAGUGAUAUCGCAAGAGGGGACAACAAUGAUCGCAAGUGUGAAACUGUUACAAGUGCUGCAUCUAGGAGCCGAGGCUUCUUUGAGAAGAGGGAGGACUCAUGAAGACAAUUUUGGUUCUUCCACUUUCUGGAGAAGGGGAGAGAAGGUAAGGAAUUUGAGAAUAAAAGUGGCCUUCAUUUUGAGAAAGGGGGAACCAACAUAGAAAAGAUUAACAGAACAAACAUGUUAGAUUUAUGCCCUAAAAGCCAAUCUGGCUGACACAUUAUU
RNAcentral lists this long non-coding RNA (323 nucleotides) under Phoenix dactylifera (date palm). RNAcentral's name for it is "long non-coding RNA (PDAC_LNC013080)". Lineage: Eukaryota; Viridiplantae; Streptophyta; Magnoliopsida; Arecales; Arecaceae. The record is from RNAcentral.